Molecule: ribosomal RNA, 516 nt
Filed under: Kwoniella mangrovensis
Lineage: Eukaryota; Fungi; Basidiomycota; Tremellomycetes; Tremellales; Cryptococcaceae
Description: partial large subunit ribosomal RNA
Rfam family: Eukaryotic large subunit ribosomal RNA
Source: RNAcentral
GCCGCGCCGGACCGUGUAUAAGUCUCCUGGAACGGAGUAUCAAAGAGGGUGACAGAGUCCCGUGCUUUACACGACGACCGGUGCUAUGUGAUACGUUCUCUACGAGUCGAGUUGUUUGGGAAUGCAGCUCAAAACGGGUGGUAAACUCCAUCUAAAGCUAAGAUAUUGGUGGGAGACCGAUAGCGAACAAGUACCGUGAGGGAAAGAUGAAAAGCACUUUGGAAAGAGAGUUAAACAGUAUGUGAAAUUGUUGAAAGGGAAAGCGAUUGAAGUCAGUCGUGUCCAUUGGGUUCAGCCGGUCCUGCCGGUCUACUCCCUUUGGACGGGUCAACAUCAGUUCUGACCGGCGGAUAAUGGCACGAGGAACGUGGACACCCUCCGGGGUGUGUUAUAGCCUCGCGUCGCAUACGCUGGUCGGGACUGAGGAACGCAGGCUCGCCUUCAUGGCCGGGGGUACGCCCACGUACGAGCUUAGGAUGUUGACAUAAUGGCUUUAAACGACCCGUCUUGAAACAC